AGCAGCUCAAUAUGAUUCUUAGUGUAUUCAAUCUCAUGUCAAGCCAGAUUAUGCUUCUGGAGGUGCUAGACUUGGUCUCCUCAAGAGAAAGGGUGUAUGUGAGAACCAUUUGAAAUCCCUUGAAGAGCCUUCCCGAGGAGGAUAACAUGUGUGGAAAUCAUUGAGGGAACACUUCUUCAGAAGUGGCUCCCCUCCAAUGAGAGCUUCCAAUGAAAAACCCGAGUACAGCAAGCAUUCUCAGCUUCAACCAAACCAGCCAUCUCCAUGUGCCAAACCUGGUGUCAGUGCUGUGGAGCUGCUUUACAGAACUGGAUAUGCUACAUAGGACCCAAGAAUUCACAUACCUGGAAGGCAGCAAGUCAUGGGUAACAGUCAGGAGUACUGGGGAUUUUCAUCAGCCAGACAGCAUAUGCCAUGUCUUAAGUGACCAGGCCUCCCCAUCCCCAGGUCAUUAUGGCUUCCAGGAAAUAAAGUUAACCACACCAGCAUGGCAGGUGCCUCAGAACAUAACGCUGGAAUGGUAUGACUCCAAUGCAGGUGGCAACUGUUAA
This 551-nucleotide long non-coding RNA is filed under the name Vulpes vulpes (red fox). RNAcentral's name for it is "lncRNA (ENSVVUG00000021106.1)". Lineage: Eukaryota; Metazoa; Chordata; Mammalia; Carnivora; Canidae. The record is from RNAcentral.